Long non-coding RNA from Coregonus clupeaformis (lake whitefish), 200 nucleotides. RefSeq lists it as uncharacterized. The transcript has 3 exons. Lineage: Eukaryota; Metazoa; Chordata; Actinopteri; Salmoniformes; Salmonidae. The record is from RefSeq and is a predicted model, not a curated record.
GACGGAAACUACCAGACACAGGCCAUCAGCAUUCACCACCAACCACGCAAAGUGACCGGCGCCUGCUUCUUUGUGUUCAGCGGUUCUCUAAAGGCAGGACACCUGGCCAAGACCAGCAUCGUAGAAGAUGGUGUGAUGGUGCAAAUCACAGGAGAAACUAUGGACGCUCUACGGCAAGCCCUGAGGGACAUGAAGGACUU